GGGGGGACGGAGAAGGCUAUGUUAGCCGGGCGACGGUUGUCCCGGUUUAAGCAUGUAGGCGGAGAUUCCAGGUAAAUCCGGAGUCUUGCUAACGCUGAGGUGUGAUGACGAGGCACUACGGUGCUGAAGUAACAAAUGCCCUGCUUCCAGGAAAAGCCUCUAAGCAUCAGGUAACACAAAAUCGUACCCCAAACCGACACAGGUGGUCAGGUAGAG
Molecule: ribosomal RNA, 216 nt
Filed under: Citrobacter braakii
Lineage: Bacteria; Pseudomonadati; Pseudomonadota; Gammaproteobacteria; Enterobacterales; Enterobacteriaceae
Description: partial 23S ribosomal RNA
Rfam family: Bacterial large subunit ribosomal RNA
Source: RNAcentral